This 84-nucleotide ribosomal RNA is filed under the name Lodderomyces orthopsilosis. RNAcentral's name for it is "Candida orthopsilosis partial 26S ribosomal RNA". The record is from RNAcentral. Lineage: Eukaryota; Fungi; Ascomycota; Pichiomycetes; Serinales; Debaryomycetaceae.
UUUUUUUUGCCCCCACCCUCGGCCGGAACCCCCCGUUGAUUUUAACCUUAUACCUAACCGGAGAGGAAACCCACCCCCACCCGG